GUUGAUCUUCCAUGGUGUGAAGACUUCGUUCUUUCGCUCUUUGCAAUGACUCUUGGUGCUACUCACUCUGGGUUCACGCUGCCUUUAUGAGUUGUGAGACUCACCGCGAAGGUCUGUAGCUUCACAGCUGAAGCCAUCGAGACCACGAACCCACCAGGAGGAACGAACAACUCCAGAAGCACCGCCUUAAAAGCUGUAACACCCACCGCGAAGAUCUGCAGGUUCACUCCUGAGCUGCCGAGACCACGAACCCACCGGAAGAAAGAAACUUCGAACACAUCCGAACAUGAGAAAUAACAAACUCCAGAUACGCGUCUUUUAAGAACUGUAGCAAUCACCGUGAGGGUCCGCGGCUUCAUUCUUGAAGUGAGACCAAGAACCCACCAAUUCCGGACGCAACUGCCCUCCAGCCUGGGCGACAGAGCGAGACUCCGUCUCAAAAAAAAAAAAAAAAAAAAAAAAAAAAAACAGAAACAAUCCCACCCAGCUUUAGCAAGUCGGAGGAGAUGGAGUUUUGCUUUUGUUGCCCAGGCUGGAGUGCAACGGCGUGAUCUUUGCUCACUGCAACCUCUGCCUCCCAGGAACAAGCGAUUCUCCUGCGUCAGCC
RNAcentral lists this long non-coding RNA (607 nucleotides) under Homo sapiens (human). RNAcentral's name for it is "HSALNT0301256". Lineage: Eukaryota; Metazoa; Chordata; Mammalia; Primates; Hominidae. The record is from RNAcentral.